Molecule: unclassified non-coding RNA, 557 nt
Filed under: Hevea brasiliensis (rubber tree)
Lineage: Eukaryota; Viridiplantae; Streptophyta; Magnoliopsida; Malpighiales; Euphorbiaceae
Source: RNAcentral
UCAUACAUACAGUUUGUAGUUAGGACAAAGAAUUAUGCUAUUCAGUGAAACAAUUUGCGGUUCUUAAAGCUUUUCUCAUGCUGCCAGGGGAAAUACUUUUUGCUAGUUAAUUUCAACUAAUAUUUAGAUAUUCUCAAGCAGGCGGCAUGCCUGAUGCCAGCAGUUUGCUGUAUCAUUUUUGAUAGGUUGAGUCCUAAUUAAUAUACGACUAAAGUGGAUUUUAAUUUCACAUUUUAUUUUAAGGGCUAUGAAUACUUUUGUAAACAAGGGGAGAAUCGUAAUUUCUUUGAGGGCAAAAAAGGGUUAUCAUGAAAAGCAAGUAUUCGGCUUCUGCAGAGAAGUUCAGUCCCUUCAAUAGUUUGGCUAAAAAAACAGAUAAAUUCAGGCUAGCUUUUCCUUAAUAUCCAACAUUAUAUGUUAAUGCAACCCCUAUAACUUCUAAAUUUUAUUUGUCAUUACCGUAUUUCUCUUCCUUUCAUGAAGUUUAGAGAAUGAGAGGAAAAUAGUGUAUAAUCCAUAUCUGUUUCUUCAGAAGACUAUAAACUAACAAAUUUAGG